RNAcentral lists this transfer RNA (57 nucleotides) under Varanus prasinus. RNAcentral describes it as "partial tRNA-His". Lineage: Eukaryota; Metazoa; Chordata; Lepidosauria; Squamata; Varanidae. The record is from RNAcentral.
GUGGGCAUAGUUUAAGCAAAACGUCAGAUCGUGAACCUGAAAAUAGAAGCUCACCCC